GCUGGGUGUGAUGAUGCACACCUGUAAUCCCAGCUACUUGGGAGGCCAAGGCAGGAUGGUCACAAGUUCGAGGCCAGCCUGGGCAACUUAGUGAGACCCUGUCUCAA
This 107-nucleotide small RNA is filed under the name Marmota monax (woodchuck). The record is from RNAcentral. Lineage: Eukaryota; Metazoa; Chordata; Mammalia; Rodentia; Sciuridae.